GUUAGGAAUCUUCCACAAUGGGGGCAACCCUGAUGGAGCAACACCGCGUGCUGGAUGAAGGCCUUCGGGUCGUAAACAGCUUUUGUAUACGAAGAAUAUGACGGUAAUAUACGAAUAAGGGUCGGCUAACUACGUGCCAGCAGCCGCGGUCAUACGUAGGACCCAAGCGUUAUCCGGAGUGACUGGGCGUAAAGAGUUGCGUAGGCGGCUUAUUAAGCGAGUAGUGAAAUCUGGUGGCUCAACCAUCAACACAUUGCUCGAACUGAUAGGCUUGAGAAUGGUAGAGGUAGUUGGAAUUUCUUGUGUAGGAGUGAAAUCCGUAGAUAUAAGAAGGAACACCAAUGGCGUAGGCAGACUACUGGAACAUUUCUGACGCUGAGGCACGAAAGCGUGGGGAGCGACCCGGAUUAGAAACCCGGGUAGUCC
RNAcentral lists this ribosomal RNA (426 nucleotides) under uncultured bacterium. Its description in RNAcentral is "partial 16S ribosomal RNA". It matches the Rfam family "Bacterial small subunit ribosomal RNA", at positions 354 to 796 of the family's 1533-position model. The record is from RNAcentral.